RNAcentral lists this ribosomal RNA (497 nucleotides) under Salmonella enterica subsp. enterica serovar Enteritidis. Its description in RNAcentral is "partial 23S ribosomal RNA". It matches the Rfam family "Bacterial large subunit ribosomal RNA", at positions 25 to 561 of the family's 2925-position model. The record is from RNAcentral. Lineage: Bacteria; Pseudomonadati; Pseudomonadota; Gammaproteobacteria; Enterobacterales; Enterobacteriaceae.
UGGAUGCCCUGGCAGUCAGAGGCGAUGAAGGGCGUACUAAUCUGCGAUAAGCGCCGGUAAGGUGAUAUGAACCGUUAUAACCGGCGAUACCCGAAUGGGGAAACCCAGUGUGAUUCGUCACACUAUCAUUAACUGAAUCCAUAGGUUAAUGAGGCGAACCGGGGGAACUGAAACAUCUAAGUACCCCGAGGAAAAGAAAUCAACCGAGAUUCCCCCAGUAGCGGCGAGCGAACGGGGAGGAGCCCAGAGCCUGAAUCAGCAUGUGUGUUAGUGGAAGCGUCUGGAAAGGCGCGCGAUACAGGGUGACAGCCCCGUACACAAAAGCGCAUGUGCUGUGAGCUCGAUGAGUAGGGCGGGACACGUGGUAUCCUGUCUGAAUAUGGGGGGACCAUCCUCCAAGGCUAAAUACUCCUGACUGACCGAUAGUGAACCAGUACCGUGAGGGAAAGGCGAAAAGAACCCCGGCGAGGGGAGUGAAAAAGAACCUGAAACCGUGU